GGCCCAGGCGCGUGGGCGCUGCCGAGAGGCUGGGAGCCCGGGAACCGGUUCCUGGACUUGAGCGGAGCGAGAAAGAGCGCGCCGCCUGCACGACUGGACUGGAGCGGCCGGGUGCCCUGGAGGCCCCUGGGAAUUGCAGUCCUUGCGCAGGUGGAGAGUGAGCCCUUGUAAGCGGGUGACUUCAUCAAGUUUGGGGGGUCUCUUGUGGAAUUGUACCUGAAGGGCGGUGCUGGCGGACAGAUGUCAGGGAAAUUCUGGCCUUGUCCAUGGCCUGUGGUAACACUUCUCCAUGAGUUCUAUUUUCCAAUUACCUCUUCCCAGACCUGAUGAGAGGGCCACAGCUAAGGAAGACGGUCCCUUCCACGAAAAAAUAUUCCCCAACCACUAGCCUGUACAAUUCCUGGGGCGUAGGGGGAGGGGAGGAGAAAAAAGAAUUCUAAGGUUAAUUUUAUUGCGAUGGGGGAAAUAGGGGUUGGUGUUUUUUUGUUGUUGUUAUUUUUUAUUUUAUUUAUUUAUUUGAGACGGAGUCUUGCUCUGUCGCCCAGGCUGGAGUGCAGUGGCGCGAUCUUGGCUCACUGCAAGCUCCGCCUCCCGGGUUCACGCCAUUCUCCUGCCUCAGCCUCCUGAGUAGCUGGGACUAGAGGCGCCCGCCACCACGCCCGGCUAAUUUUUUUUUUUUGGUAGGAGACACGGCGUUUCACCAUAUUAGCCAGGAUGGUCUCGAUCUCCUGACCUCGUGAUCCGCCCGUCUCGGCCUCCCAAAGUGCUGGGUUUACAGGCGCCCGGCCGAUUAUUUUUUAUUUUUUUUUUGAGACAUGGUGGCCAACAUGGUGAAACCCUGUCUCUAUUAAAAAUACAAAAAGGUUAGCUGGGCGUGGUGGCGGGCGCCUGUAGUCCCCACUACUCAGGAGGCAGGAGAAUCGUUUGAACCCGGGAGGCAGAGGUUGCAAUAAGCUGAGAUUGUGCCACUGCACUCUAGCCUGGGCGACAGAGUGAGACUCCGUCUCAAAAAAAAAAUUAAUUAAAAAUAAAUUUAUCUCACUAUCAAUUUUGCAGGAUAUUGAUUGAUCCAGUCUCUCAAUACUUUUAUAAAAUAGCUUAAUCCUAGUCUCUCCAAGAAAAAUUGUUGUUCAACUGUGUAGUACCAUAGUAACAGUUCUCAGAUUCUCAGAUUAUUAAAUUUGUUUCUCCAAGAUAUAGUAUCCUUGAAAAUGCGCAUUGACACCCCCAUGGCUGGGGGAUAUAUUAUCUUUUUUCCUUCAAAGUGCCAUUGAUAAUUACUGCACGUAGGAGCUAUGGAUAAAAAUAGUUAUCAUUUGUUGAAUGUCUACUACGUGUCUAGAACUAUGCCAGGAACUUAAUGAAAUUGUCUUAUUUAGUCUUCACAGUUGCUCCACAAGGGAUUGUAUUAAUGUCAUUAUCUUGAUUUUACAGAUGAGAAAACUCAAGACUCAGAAACAAUAAAGGUUACAGAGAUGAAAUUGACAGAGCCUGAAUUUCAGGUUAUGAUUCUGUAUGGUUUCUUUGGUGCUGCAUUAGACCUGAGCUCUGAUUGAAAAUUCUUCCACGCUCGCUACAUUCCAAAACUUUAUCUCCAAUAUGAAUUUCCAGAUGCCUCACAAGGUCUGAGCUCCAUCUGAAGGCUUUCCCAUGCUUGUCACAUUCAUAGGGCUUUUCUCCACUAUGAAUUCUAUGAUGUCGAAUAAAGUGUGAGCUCUGAUUACAAGUCUUUGAACAUUCAUUGCAUUCACAAAGUUUCUUUCCACUGUGAAUUCUUUGAUGCUGAAUAAGUUGUGAGCUCCCCUUCAAAUCUUUCCCACACCCAAUGCAUUUAUAAGGCCUCUCUCUCACCUUGUAUGGAUUCUCUGAUGUU
This 1873-nucleotide long non-coding RNA is filed under the name Homo sapiens (human). RNAcentral describes it as "non-protein coding lnc-USP6-4:11". Lineage: Eukaryota; Metazoa; Chordata; Mammalia; Primates; Hominidae. The record is from RNAcentral.